AGAAUCAACGCUGGCGGCGUGCCUAACACAUGCAAGUCGAACGAGAAAGUGGAGCAAUCCAUGAGUAAAGUGGCGACCGGGUGAGUAACACGUGACUAACCUACCUUCGAGUGGGGGAUAACCUCGGGAAACCGAGGCUAAUACCGCAUAACAUCGUGAGAUCAAAGCAGUAAUGCGCUGGAAGAGGGGGUCGCGGCUGAUUAGCUAGUUGCGGGUAAUGGCCCACCAAGGCGAAGAUCGGUA
RNAcentral lists this ribosomal RNA (243 nucleotides) under uncultured bacterium. RNAcentral describes it as "partial small subunit ribosomal RNA". It matches the Rfam family "Bacterial small subunit ribosomal RNA", at positions 26 to 285 of the family's 1533-position model. The record is from RNAcentral.